Molecule: ribosomal RNA, 1018 nt
Filed under: Cordyceps ninchukispora
Lineage: Eukaryota; Fungi; Ascomycota; Sordariomycetes; Hypocreales; Cordycipitaceae
Description: SSU rRNA
Rfam family: Eukaryotic small subunit ribosomal RNA
Source: RNAcentral
CGAAUGGCUCAUUAUAUAAGUUAUCGUUUAUUUGAUAGUACCUAACUACUUGGAUAACCGUGGUAAUUCUAGAGCUAAUACAUGCUAAAAAUCCCGACUUCGGAAGGGAUGUAUUUAUUAGAUUAAAAACCAAUGCCCUCUGGGCUCCUUGGUGAUUCAUGAUAACUCUUCGAAUCGCACGGCCUUGCGCCGGCGAUGGUUCAUUCAAAUUUCUUCCCUAUCAACUUUCGAUGUUUGGGUCUUGGCCAAACAUGGUCGCAACGGGUAACGGAGGGUUAGGGCUCGACCCCGGAGAAGGAGCCUGAGAAACGGCUACUACAUCCAAGGAAGGCAGCAGGCGCGCAAAUUACCCAAUCCCGAUUCGGGGAGGUAGUGACAAUAAAUACUGAUACAGGGCUCUUUUGGGUCUUGUAAUUGGAAUGAGUACAAUUUAAAUCCCUUAACGAGGAACAAUUGGAGGGCAAGUCUGGUGCCAGCAGCCGCGGUAAUUCCAGCUCCAAUAGCGUAUAUUAAAGUUGUUGUGGUUAAAAAGCUCGUAGUUGAACCUUGGGCCUGGCUGGCCGGUCCGCCUCACCGCGUGUACUGGUCCGGCCGGGCCUUUCCCUCUGUGGAACCCCAUGCCCUUCACUGGGUGUGGCGGGGAAACAGGACUUUUACUUUGAAAAAUUAGAGUGCUCCAGCAGGCCUAUGCUCGAAUACAUUAGCAUGGAAUAAUGAAAUAGACGCGUGGUUCUAUUUUGUUGGUUUCUAGGACCGCCGUAAUGAUUAAUAAGGACAGUCGGGGGCAUCAGUAUUCAAUUGUCAGAGUGAAAUUCUUGGAUUUAUUGAAGACUAACUACUGCGAAAGCAUUUGCCAAGGAUGUUUUCAUUAAUCAGGAACGAAAGUUAGGGGAUCGAAGACGAUCAGAUACCGUCGUAGUCUUAACCAUAAACUAUGCCGACUAGGGAUCGGACGAUGUUAUUUUUUGACGCGUUCGGCACCUUACGAGAAAUCAAAGUGCUUGGGCUCCAGGGGGAG